RNAcentral lists this ribosomal RNA (473 nucleotides) under uncultured Bacilli bacterium. RNAcentral's name for it is "bacterial SSU rRNA". It matches the Rfam family "Bacterial small subunit ribosomal RNA", at positions 840 to 1312 of the family's 1533-position model. Lineage: Bacteria; Bacillati; Bacillota; Bacilli. The record is from RNAcentral.
UUAGUGCUGCAGCUAACGCAUUAAGCACUCCGCCUGGGGAGUACGGCCGCAAGGCUGAAACUCAAAGGAAUUGACGGGGGCCCGCACAAGCGGUGGAGCAUGUGGUUUAAUUNGAAGCAACGCGAAGAACCUUACCAGGUCUUGACAUCCUUUGACACUCCUAGAGAUAGGAAUUUCCCCUUCGGGGGACAGAGUGACAUGUGGUGCAUGGUUGUNGUCAGCUCGUGUCGUGAGAUGUUGGGUUAAGUCCCGCAACGAGCGCAACCCUUGAUUUUAGUUGCCAGCAUUCAGUUGGGCACUNUAAGGUGACUGCCGGUGACAAACCGGAGGAAGGUGGGGAUGACGUCAAAUCAUCAUGCCCCUUAUGACCUGGGCUACACACGUGCUACAAUGGAUGGUACAAAGGGCUGCAAAACCGCAAGGUCUAGCCAAUCCCAUAAAACCAUUCUCAGUUCGGAUUGUAGGCUGCAACU